UUGCCCUAGUAACGGCGAGUGAAGCGGCAACAGCUCAAAUUUGAAAUCUGGCUCCCUUGGGGGUCCGAGUUGUAAUUUGUAGAGGGUGCUUUGGUAUUAGCUGUGGUCUAAGACCCUUGGAACAGGGCGUCACAGAGGGUGAGAAUCCCGUAUGUGGCCAGCAGCUCUUGCCUUGUAAAGCCCCUUCGACGAGUCGAGUUGUUUGGGAAUGCAGCUCUAAAUGGGAGGUAAAUUUCUUCUAAAGCUAAAUACUGGCCAGAGACCGAUAGCGCACAAGUAGAGUGAUCGAAAGAUGAAAAGCACUUUGGAAAGAGAGUCAAAAAGCACGUGAAAUUGUUGAAAGGGAAGCGCUUGCAGCCAGACUUGCCCGUAGUUGUUCAUCCAGGCUCUUGCCUGGUGCACUCUUCUGCGGGCAGGCCAGCAUCAGUCCAGGCGGUCGGAUAAAGGCCUUGGGAAUGUGGCUCCUUUCGGGGAGUGUUAUAGCCCAGGGUGCCAUGCGGCCAGCCUGAACUGAGGUCCGCGCUUCUGCUAGGAUGCUGGCGUAAUGGCUGUAAGCGGCCCGUCUU
This 566-nucleotide ribosomal RNA is filed under the name Vargamyces aquaticus. RNAcentral's name for it is "eukaryotic LSU rRNA". It matches the Rfam family "Eukaryotic large subunit ribosomal RNA", at positions 75 to 655 of the family's 3401-position model. The record is from RNAcentral. Lineage: Eukaryota; Fungi; Ascomycota; Dothideomycetes; Pleosporales; Amniculicolaceae.